UACGGAGGGGGCUAGCGUUGUUCGGAAUUACUGGGCGUAAAGCGCGCGUAGGCGGACCUGCAAGUCGUGGGUGAAAGCCCGAGGCUCAACCUCGGGCCUGCAGUGGGUACGGGCAGACUAGAGUGCGGUAGGGGAGACUGGAAUUCCUGGUGUAGCGGUGAAAUGCUUAGAUAUGACAUAGAACACCAAUUGCGAAGGCAGCUGGCUACACAAAAUAUUGACACUGAGGCACGAAAGCGUGGGGAUCAAACAGG
This 254-nucleotide ribosomal RNA is filed under the name uncultured bacterium. RNAcentral's name for it is "partial 16S ribosomal RNA". It matches the Rfam family "Bacterial small subunit ribosomal RNA", at positions 524 to 776 of the family's 1533-position model. The record is from RNAcentral.